CCUACGGGUGGCUGCAGUGGGGAAUAUUGCACAAUGGGGGCAAGCCUGAUGCAGCGACGCCGCGUGAGUGAAGAAGGAAUUCGGUAUGUAAAGCUCUAUCAGCAGGGAGGAAAAUGAUGGUACUUUAGUAAGAAGCACUGGAUAACUACGUGCCAGCAGCCGCGGUAAUACGUAGGGGGCAAGCGUUAGCCGGAUUUACUGGGGGUAAAGGGAAUGUAGACGGCAGGUCAAGUCUGGAGUGAAAGGCGGGGGCUCAACCCGCGGACUGCUCCUGAAACUGGACGGCUGGAGUGCAGGAGAGGUAAGUGGAAUUCCUGGUGUAGCGGUGAAAUGCGUAGAGAUUAGGAGGAACACCAGUGGCGAAGGCGGCUUACUGGACUGUAACUGACGUUGAGGCUCGAAAGCGUGGGGAGCAAACAGGAUUAGAUACCCGAGUAGUC
RNAcentral lists this ribosomal RNA (440 nucleotides) under uncultured bacterium. Its description in RNAcentral is "partial 16S ribosomal RNA". It matches the Rfam family "Bacterial small subunit ribosomal RNA", at positions 338 to 795 of the family's 1533-position model. The record is from RNAcentral.